This 486-nucleotide ribosomal RNA is filed under the name uncultured bacterium. Its description in RNAcentral is "partial 16S ribosomal RNA". It matches the Rfam family "Bacterial small subunit ribosomal RNA", at positions 30 to 507 of the family's 1533-position model. The record is from RNAcentral.
AUUGAACGCUGGCGGCAUGCCUUACACAUGCAAGUCGAACGGCAGCACGGGUGCUUGCACCUGGUGGCAAGUGGCGAACGGGUGAGUAAUACAUCGGAACAUGUCCUGUAGUGGGGGAUAGCCCGGCGAAAGCCGGAUUACUACCGCAUACGAUCUACGUAUGAAAGCGGGGGACCUUCGGGCCUCGCGCUAUAGGGUUGGCCGAUGGCUGAUUAGCUAGUUGGUGGGGUAAAGGCCUACCAAGGCGACGAUCAGUAGCUGGUCUGAGAGGACGACCAGCCACACUGGGACUGAGACACGGCCCAGACUCCUACGGGAGGCAGCAGUGGGGAAUUUUGGACAAUGGGCGAAAGCCUGAUCCAGCAAUGCCGCGUGUGUGAAGAAGGCCUUCGGGUUGUAAAGCACUUUUGUCCGGAAAGAAAUCCUUGGCCCUAAUACGGUCGGGGGAUGACGGUACCGGAAGAAUAAGCACCGGCUAACUACGUG